GCUCGAUUAUUCUUAUGUAUUAACCUUCAAUCCAUCAUACAUGAUUUAAAGAAAUAGAUGGGGACAUUUUUCUUGUCCUUCCUGUGUUCCUUAGAUAUUGUUUCUUAAUGUGUAUUUCUUUUAACUAUAUCCCUUAGAUACUUAAUACCUGAACAGGAAUCAGUGAUGUUGCCGGGGUGGUGGUGAGGUGGUGGUAUGUUGACCUGAG
Pelobates cultripes (western spadefoot toad) is the source of this 208-nucleotide non-coding RNA. The record is from the annotation of a GenBank genome assembly. NCBI's taxonomy places the organism in Eukaryota, Metazoa, Chordata, Amphibia, Anura, Pelobatidae.